This 433-nucleotide ribosomal RNA is filed under the name uncultured bacterium. Its description in RNAcentral is "partial 16S ribosomal RNA". It matches the Rfam family "Bacterial small subunit ribosomal RNA", at positions 29 to 507 of the family's 1533-position model. The record is from RNAcentral.
AACGAACGCUGGCGGCAUGCCUAACACAUGCAAGUCGAACGAGACCUUCGGGUCUAGUGGCGCACGGGUGCGUAACGCGUGGGAACCUGCCCUUAGGUUCGGAAUAACUCCCCGAAAGGGGUGCUAAUACCGGAUAAUGUCUUCGGACCAAAGAUUUAUCGCCUUUGGAUGGGCCCGCGUUGGAUUAGCUAGUUGGUAGGGUAAAAGCCUACCAAGGCGACGAUCCAUAGCUGGUCUGAGAGGAUGAUCAGCCACUCUGGGACUGAGACACGGCCCAGACUCCUACGGGAGGCAGCAGUGGGGAAUAUUGGACAAUGGGCGAAAGCCUGAUUCAGCAAUGCCGCGUGAGUGAUGAAGGCCUUAGGGUUGUAAAGCUCUUUUACCCGGGAUGAUAAUGACAGUACCGGGAGAAUAAGCACCGGCUAACUCCGUG